This 288-nucleotide ribosomal RNA is filed under the name uncultured Peptoniphilus sp. RNAcentral describes it as "partial 16S ribosomal RNA". It matches the Rfam family "Bacterial small subunit ribosomal RNA", at positions 80 to 354 of the family's 1533-position model. Lineage: Bacteria; Bacillati; Bacillota; Tissierellia; Tissierellales; Peptoniphilaceae. The record is from RNAcentral.
UUACGGGCGAAGAUAAGACGGAUUAGCGGCGGACGGGUGAGUAACACGUGAGUAACCUGCCUUUUACACAGGGAUAGCCUCGGGAAACCGGGAUUAAAACCUGAUGAAACUAUCAAAUCACAUGAUUAAGAAAGUUAAAACUCCGGUGGUAAAAGAUGGACUCGCGUCCCAUUAGCUAGUUGGUGAAGGUAACGGCCCACCAAGGCAACGAUGGGUAGCCGGCCUGAGAGGGUGAACGGCCACAUUGGAACUGAGAAACGGUCCAAACUCCUACGGGAGGCAGCAGAA